UACGGAAGGCAGCAGUGGGGAAUAUUGCACAAUGGGCGCAAGCCUGAUGCAGCCAUGCCGCGUGUAUGAAGAAGGCCUUCGGGUUGUAAAGUACUUUCAGUCGUGAGGAAGGUGUUAAGGUUAAUAACCUUAGCAAUUGACGUUAGCGACAGAAGAAGCACCGGCUAACUCCGUGCCAGCAGCCGCGGUAAUACGGAGGGUGCGAGCGUUAAUCGGAAUUACUGGGCGUAAAGGGCACGCAGGCGGUUAAUUAAGUUGGAUGUGAAAUCCCCGGGCUUAACCUGGGAAUGGCAUUCAAGACUGGUUAGCUAGAGUCUUGUAGAGGGGGUAGAAUUCCAUGUGUAGCGGUGAAAUGCGUAGAGAUGUGGAGGAAUACCGGGUGGCGAAGGCGGCCCCUGGACAAAGGCUGACGCUCAUGUGCGAAAGCGUGGGGAGCAAACAGGGAUUAGAUACCCGGU
This 458-nucleotide ribosomal RNA is filed under the name uncultured bacterium. RNAcentral's name for it is "bacterial SSU rRNA". It matches the Rfam family "Bacterial small subunit ribosomal RNA", at positions 340 to 791 of the family's 1533-position model. The record is from RNAcentral.